This 255-nucleotide ribosomal RNA is filed under the name Klebsiella aerogenes. RNAcentral's name for it is "partial 23S ribosomal RNA". It matches the Rfam family "Bacterial large subunit ribosomal RNA", at positions 1421 to 1675 of the family's 2925-position model. Lineage: Bacteria; Pseudomonadati; Pseudomonadota; Gammaproteobacteria; Enterobacterales; Enterobacteriaceae. The record is from RNAcentral.
GGAAACAGGUUAAUAUUCCUGUACUUGGUGUUACUGCGAAGGGGGGACGGAGAAGGCUAUGUUAGCCGGGCGACGGUUGUCCCGGUUUAAGCAUGUAGGCGGAGGUUCCAGGUAAAUCCGGUACCUUAUUAACGCUGAGGUGUGAUGACGAGGCACUACGGUGCUGAAGUAACAAAUGCCCUGCUUCCAGGAAAAGCCUCUAAGCAUCAGGUAACAUUGAAUCGUACCCCAAACCGACACAGGUGGUCAGGUAGA